UCAUGUUUAUUCAGUCAGUUUUUCUCUCUUUCUCUCUGUUUCUUUUUGAGAUGGAGUUUUGCUCUUGUUUCCCAGGCUGGAGUGCAGUGGCGUUCUCAACUUAUGCAUUUUUUGGGGGUUUAAUUUGGUUAUCUUUUUCUGGCUUCUUGAGAUGGACUCUUCUGCUGUGUUUCAUCUGAUUUUACACUUGUUAAAUUAAUAUUUUUCUUUUCUUUUUUAAAAUUAUACUUUAAGUUCUGGGAUACAUGUGUAGAAUGUAUAAGUUUGUUACAUAGGUAUAGUUGGCUUCUUUGAGUGUUUUGAGCUGGUUAGAUUCUUCAGGUAAAAUCUUGUCUGAAGGAUUUUGCUGUCAUUGUUUUGGUAGUCCAAUCAACUUCAGCAAAGUCUCAGGAUACAAAAUCAAUGUAAUUUUCUCUGAGGUUUCUUAAGCAUUUCCCCUGAAUAUCUUAAAGUACUAAUUUGUUUAUAAACUUUAUACAGGAGGCAUUUUAGAAUAGUGGUGUGACUGAAGUUACACUGAAGUCAGAAUGAUCAUGUUCCACCAAUUACCAGUUGUAUGGCCUUAGGAAAUUUUAUUAAUAUUGUGGAGCCUCAGUUUUCUCAGUAAUAGAAUGAACACAAUAAUAUCAACUUGGUAGGAUCAUUGUAUAUUUAAAUCAAGCAAUGCACAUUUAGUCCUCAGUGCAGGUCCUCUCACAUAGGUGCAAAAUAGUGUUCAGUAAAUACCAGUAAUAAAUUAAUUUAUAAAUAUCAAUAUUGGACAUUGCAAAUAUUGGCUCCCACUUUCAAACUAUGACAAAUUUUAUAUUAGCAGAAGAUGACAAUAGCUAAGUGAGCAAAAGAUCCCAUCACUGUAAGUAUUGGUAAUGAUGUGCCCAGUUAAACUUAGCCAAUCCAAAUCUGGACAAUUUAAGGGAGAGACUGGAUACUUAUUUCCAACAAUGUCCCCAUGAAUUGUGAAUUAUUUAAAACCACCCACCUGAAAGGACAUGAAUCCCGUAUUGACGUCAUAAUCCAUUAUUUUGAUAUAUGGCUCCUUCCAAAGCUCUAUUUCAAUGUAAUCUGUGUCCCAACAAGGCUGCAGGCUGGUCACACUUUUGCUCUAUUGACUUGCCAAGCAGAAUUAUUUAUUUGGCACCAGUAAUGUGCUCUGUAUUCUAUGGCAGUUGGUGAUAAUAAUAGCUUGGUUUCUUUUGGUGCAUUUCCUUCAAGGAGUUGAGAGGACAUUUGGAUACACAGGGAAGGAGAAGUUGCCAUAUUGCUUCUCCUAACUCAUAGCAUUAGGCCCCUUAAAAACCACUUUUGGAUGAUGAUAAUGUUGAAUGUUUAUAUAUAUAUAUAUAUGAUAAAAUGACAGUGGCAGGGAAAUGAAGAAGAGCAGAGGAAGAGAAAGGAAGGAAAACUGAGAAGAGGGGCAGCAAAAGACAAACAAGAAAAACAUAAUUUUAUUGCUGUAGAAAGACAAGAACUAUCUUCAAAUAAUGCUAUAGAGGACCUGAAGAGUCAAAGGUAACUAAAACUGUAUGUCACUUUUAUUUCCCUUAGGGACCAAAUUCUCUUCUGGCUUUCACAGAUAUCCAUAGCUGGAUUCACACCACCUAUGUAACUUUCCCUCUUUGUUCCCAACCUUGCCUGAGCUAGACCACAAACUAUCAGGUUCUAGAAUUUCUGACAUUAUAAGGAAAACUUGAACUAAAAUAAACUCCAAAAUAAUUCAUUAAUCUCUGAGAAUAAAGUCUCAGCAUUGGAAGAGAUGGGUGUGGGUGGCACCUUUCUUGUCACCUCCCAAAGCGGUAAUCCUUUCCUCAAACAAGUAAGAUAGCUGGUUCUCAAAAAACAAUGGUUAUGGAAACUCAAUACCUUGCAAUAUAGGCCAUCCUGGUGUGAGAAGUAAUGGCUGUAAGAAAGCAUUCCUACUGUCAACUUGAAGUGUGCUUAUAUGCCUCUAAUGGCUAGUAUUAUGGAGGACAUACUAGCCAUUGUUCUGUGUGCUUAAUGUGUAUAGCUUCCAAGCCUCCCAAUAAUUUUGAAAGAUAGAUAUUAUUACUCCCAUAUCUAUAAACAGAAGAAAAUAUGACUCAAGGAGGUUAAAUGGCUCGUCUAAGCUCACAUAGCUUGUAAGUUCUGGAGCUAUACUCAAAGCCAAGACUGAUUCUAUAACCUUUUCUUUUUUCACUUCUUAACUGAUGGCAUUCCCUUCCUUUUCAGCUGUCAAAACCUCACUUGCUUGACAAAUAACUAAUGCAUGCGGGGCUUAAAACCUAGAUGAUGGCUGGUUGGGUGCAGCAAGGCACCAUGGCAUAUGUAUACCUGUGUAACAAACCUGCACAUUCUGCACAUGUAUCUCAGAACUUAAAGUAUAAUUAAAACAAGAAGAAAAAAAACAAAGAACAAAAUGUUACCUUAAUUCCCAGUUCUUCUGUGAAAUGCUCUUGGUCACCCCAUCCUGGAGUGCUCAUCUUUCUAUUAUGAGCCAUUUCCAGCAAUUUAGUUCUGUAGAAUUCUUAUGGCAAUUACUGUGUAAGAUCAUACAUCAAGAAAUCUCUCGUACUGGAACCUUAAAUUUUAUUUAAAUAUUUUUUAAUUAUUUAAAAAUCAUGAAAUGCCAGAAACGGAAGGCACAAAAGAGGUGAUAAAAAUGACAAUACUUGGUAGUAUUAAGUAUUUACUAUGAGCUAUAUAUUACUCUAAGUGAUUUACUUGCACUAAUUCAUUCAAUGCAAAUGAAGUAUGGAUUAUGUAUGGUAUGCACAUAUGUUUCACCAUUCUACAAAUGAGGAAAUGGAAAUACACAGAAAUUAGUUAAUUCUCUCAUGGCCAAAAGCUACAGCUUCAUAGUUACUCAAAUCCACAAGGCUUUGAAGUGGAAUUUUUUUUUGAGUGUGUUUGGCAGCAAAACCUGAUCUGACCUAAACUGAUUUUGUGGCAAAGCUUGUCCUAGCUUGACAUCAGACUAUUUAUAAUUAUUUAUCUCAUUUAAUGUUAAUAUUCAUAUGUUUUACUGUAGAAAUAUUUAUGUGUUUAAUUAUGGAGCACUGCUCCAGACCUUACUAGGGUUAGCAGUAUGCUGUGUAAUAUUUGGAUAUUAAUUUCCUCACCCUGCCCUUGCACACCCCAUCUCCAAAUCCUGUAUUUGGAAACACAUCUAGCCCUAAAGGCUUUGGCAGAAAGCAUUUAGAUCUGUAGUUAGUGGUAAAAGAGUCACAGUUCAAAUCAGGCUAUUAGAUGCUAGAGCCCAGAUUCAAGAAAACUAUACUAACUUUUCUUUUUUUAAAAUUUUUUAAAAAAAUUUCAUUUUAAGUUCUGGGGUAAAGUGCAGGAUUUGUUAAUAGGUAAACAUGUGCCAUAGUGGUUUGCUGCACCUAUCAACCCAUCACCUAGGUAUUAGGCCUAGCAUUCAUUAGCUAUUUUUCCUGAUGCUCUCCCUCCCACCACCCGCUUACCCUGUGACAGGCCCCAGUGUGUGGUGUUCCCCGCCGUGUGUCUGUGUGUUCUCAUUGUCCAGCUCCCACUUAUAAGUGAGAACAUGCGGUGUUUGGUUUUCUGUAUACUAGCAUUUCUAAUACUUCUGUUUAUAAUGUAACAAAACUU
RNAcentral lists this long non-coding RNA (3591 nucleotides) under Homo sapiens (human). RNAcentral describes it as "non-protein coding lnc-G3BP1-6:1". Lineage: Eukaryota; Metazoa; Chordata; Mammalia; Primates; Hominidae. The record is from RNAcentral.